GAAUUGUCAAAAGGUUAUUUAUACAUUCUUAUUAGUUUCAAAGCAACUAAUGUUGUGAAUUUAAAUUAACAUACAGUUGCUAAAUAAAAUUUUACAUUUUUAUUUGUUUAUUUUGAAAUAAACUAAUAAGUAAAUACAAAUUUCAAACUUUCUAGAAUCAAUCAAUUUAGUCUCUAAACUAUCUCUCUCACCAACUUUGUUUUUAAUGGGAGGUGAACACAGCGUUCAAGCAACUCAUUUUCAUCUUG
RNAcentral lists this long non-coding RNA (248 nucleotides) under Trifolium pratense (red clover). RNAcentral's name for it is "long non-coding RNA (TPRA_LNC005584)". Lineage: Eukaryota; Viridiplantae; Streptophyta; Magnoliopsida; Fabales; Fabaceae. The record is from RNAcentral.